UCAUUUUGUCCAAAAUUCUCAACUCUCUGAACUCCACUCUACUGAAAACUCCACCUUCGAAAACACUUUGCUGAAAACUCGAGAUCUCCUGCGACGACAAGCCCGCGCGACAGAUCUUUUGCAUCGCUGUACCGGAACCCUAAUCUCGGAUUUAGCCGCGGUGGUGCAUUUCGAUCAAGAAAAAACCCUAGUUUCAAUCAACCAGAAAACUCAACCAUCGAUCAGCUGCUAGAACCGCUCUCACUCACGCUACUUAUCGAUUUGGGAGUUUUGCGGUUUGGGAAUAUCGAUUUGGUGGUUAUCCUGGUCAGAGAACAAUGGAGCCAUAAAUGUUCCUAUACGGAAAACCAUUCAAGCUUUUCUCGUUUAUUUUCAUAAUCAAAUAAUUUCAUGUUGAAGUGUUUAUGAUAAUUAUAUGUUCAAGGGUUUUCUGUAAUCGAAUUAAGAUUUGGUGGAUAUGGGUUUUAAGGGAGUACUUAAGGUCGAUGAAUGUGUUCCCAAUCCUUCGCCUGUUUCAGAUCAGAGCUCUCCAAUGAAGGGAUAGCAGAAGAUUUGAGACAUCAAAUGGUAAAGCUUGUUAUACAAAGUCAAGAAAAAGAAAAGGAAUGAAGGAUGAUGAAGAUCCUUCCGAAUUUCCAUCUAUUCCAGAGGAACCCCCUUAUGAAAGAUGAUCCUCAUAAAUCAAAGCUUAGAUCAUGCAAAGGAAAAGAAGUGAAGGCAAAUACUCUUGCUAUUAAGGUGAUUUUCCCAUAGUGAAAAUUCUAUGCAAACUUUGAAGGCAAGUGAUUGGCAUCUUGAAGGAGCUGAGAGCAUUUAAUAUAUUCUACAGCCAAGUCACAAGAGAAGAAAAAACAAAUGUCCAAGCUCUAGAGUACAUUGCAAAUUAUUUGCUAGUCAGCUUCAAUAGUUAGGUCUCAUGGAACAAUUAAUGACUAUUUUAGAUGUAUUAUUUGAUGGUUGUAAUGACAUUGGAGUUUCCACAAUGAAUGGGAACAUCAAUGAAUGACAAUAGAAGACUUAUGUGUCAUCUAAAAUACAAGACAACAACAAACUCAAAAAACAAUAUGUUGUUGGAACAAUUGAAAAACAAUAGAAUAGAAGAAAAAAUUUAUUGCUCUAUAUAUAUUCAGACUACAUAUUAAAUGCAAGUUUAACCGCAAAUAAAUGUCUUUUGCUAUGAGUUAAAAUGACAGAUAAUUGAAAUUGAAACUUAUUUACAACGACAAUAAAUUAUAGUUGAGACCCAAUACUAACAACAAAUAAUUCUCAAUACUGUUAUUGAGAUGAGAAUUAAACCAAAUAAGUUAAAGAACUUUGUUGUUGGUCUUCAUGUUUGCCCACAGUUUUCUGUCUUCUGAAAUCUUGAUAACACACACCUGUACUUGUGAGGAAUCAAUCAGACAACAGAAGACCGAAAACAUUUUUGUUGUGUGAAUGUAAUCAGACAACAGAAUUUAUACGUUGUCUAAUUGCACAAGAGAAGGCAGAGCCUCAGACGACAAAAAUUUGUGCAAUCAGACGACGCAGAUUAUCUGUCGUCUGAUUGACUUAUUGGCAUAGUGUCGGCGACACUUAGUUUCACCCUGCCACUAGGUGGCAACGAUAAUUUGACCAUACAAGGAAUUCACUACCAACCCAGAGAGACGCUACUGCUAGUAGAAGGUCGCGGCCAUUUUCCCGUGCAAGAAACUCGCCGCCUACCUAGAGCAGAUAAAGUACACAAGAUGCAUAAACUGGGACCAACCUCAUUGCGUCCUACCAAAUAUUGGUAGCAACUUAUUAACUCAACCACUACCAAGUAAACAUAAAAAUAAUUAAAAACUUUAAUAUAAAAAAAAAACCCAAUGGGCCUACAGAAAUACUCCAAGCCCAAGAAACACCAGGCCCACCUUUGGAUUAAGGCCGCAAGAGCUCAAACCUUGGACCCAACCCAAAAUGAAUGUUGCACAGGUAACCCCACUACCAUUAUAGUACCCCUAAGACCAUCUCGCCGCCCUCGCCUUCGAACUCUGACAACCGUCGGUAGAGCACCAACAAAUCACCUCUCCGCAAAUCCUCGCGAGCCCAGACUGGAGAGCAAACCCAGCACGGGUAACUCCCACCGCCGCUCUCUGCUGCGCGAUUCCAAACCAAGCCACACCCAAUCUCCACUGGAUUUUCAACAAGAUCUGAAUGUAUCUAAUCCCAUACCAGAAAUCUAGAUUAGGUUCGCACCUAGCCAUACUGCCGCUUACCACCAUCUGCCACAAAUCCACUACAUGUGCAAAGAUCAUCCCAACCCCAAUCUCCAAUUGCCUACUUGGGGGCCCAUUCUAAGGCCCUGAAUGACAUUAUUGCUCAAAGCUUGUGAG
Rosa rugosa (rugosa rose) is the source of this 2351-nucleotide long non-coding RNA. RefSeq lists it as uncharacterized. The record is from RefSeq and is a predicted model, not a curated record. Lineage: Eukaryota; Viridiplantae; Streptophyta; Magnoliopsida; Rosales; Rosaceae. The transcript is spliced from 7 exons.